This 458-nucleotide ribosomal RNA is filed under the name uncultured bacterium. RNAcentral's name for it is "bacterial SSU rRNA". It matches the Rfam family "Bacterial small subunit ribosomal RNA", at positions 32 to 507 of the family's 1533-position model. The record is from RNAcentral.
AACGCUGGCGGCGUGCCUAACACAUGCAAGUCGAACGAGGUCCAUCCUUCGGGAGAAGACCUAGUGGCGAACGGGUGAGUAACACGUGAAGAACCUGCCCCGAAGACCGGGAUAACCCUCCGAAAGGAGAGCUAAUACCGGAUACCCCCACCGAACCGCAUGGUUUGGUGAGGAAAUGGAUUCCGCUUCGGGAGGGCUUCGCGGCCUAUCAGCUAGUUGGUGGGGUAACGGCCCACCAAGGCAUCGACGGGUAGCUGGUCUGAGAGGACGAUCAGCCACACUGGGACUGAGACACGGCCCAGACUCCUACGGGAGGCAGCAGUGGGGAAUCUUGCGCAAUGGGCGAAAGCCUGACGCAGCAACGCCGCGUGGGGGAUGAAGGCUCUCGGGUUGUAAACCCCUUUCAGCAGGGACGAAUCAAGACGGUACCUGCAGAAGAAGCCCCGGCUAACUACGUG